UGGGGAAUAUUGGACAAUGGGCGAAAGCCUGAUCCAGCCAUGCCGCGUGUGUGAAGAAGGUCUUCGGAUUGUAAAGCACUUUAAGUUGGGAGGAAGGGCAGUAAGCGAAUACCUUGCUGUUUUGACGUUACCGACAGAAUAAGCACCGGCUAACUCUGUGCCAGCAGCCGCGGUAAUACAGAGGGUGCAAGCGUUAAUCGGAAUUACUGGGCGUAAAGCGCGCGUAGAUGGUUCGUUAAGUUGAAUGUGAAAGCCCCGGGCUCAACCUGGGAACUGCAUCCAAAACUGGCGAGCUAGAGUAGGGCAGAGGGUGGUGGAAUUUCCUGUGUAGCGGUGAAAUGCGUAGAUAUAGGAAGGAACACCAGUGGCGAAGGCGACCACCUGGGCUCAUACUGACACUGAGGUGCGAAAGCGUGGGGAGCAAACAGG
Molecule: ribosomal RNA, 429 nt
Filed under: Pseudomonadota bacterium
Lineage: Bacteria; Pseudomonadati; Pseudomonadota
Description: Proteobacteria bacterium partial 16S ribosomal RNA
Rfam family: Bacterial small subunit ribosomal RNA
Source: RNAcentral